UACGGAGGGUGCGAGCGUUAAUCGGAAUCACUGGGCGUAAAGCGCGCGGAGGUGGUCCGUUAAGUCGGAUGUGAAAGCCCUGGGCUUAACCUGGGAAUUGCAUUCGAUACUGGCGGACUUGGAGUGUGGUAGAGGGAAGUGGAAUUCCCGGUGUAGCGGUGAAAUGCGUAGAUAUUGGGAGGAAAACCAGUGGCGAAGGCGGCUUCCUGGACCAACACUGACACUGAGGCGCGAAAGCGUGGGGAGCAAACAGG
RNAcentral lists this ribosomal RNA (254 nucleotides) under uncultured bacterium. Its description in RNAcentral is "partial 16S ribosomal RNA". It matches the Rfam family "Bacterial small subunit ribosomal RNA", at positions 524 to 776 of the family's 1533-position model. The record is from RNAcentral.